UGGCGGCGUGCCUAAUACAUGCAAGUCGAGCGAACAGACGAGGAGCUUGCUCCUCUGACGUUAGCGGCGGACGGGUGAGUAACACGUGGAUAACCUACCUAUAAGACUGGGAUAACUUCGGGAAACCGGAGCUAAUACCGGAUAAUAUAUUGAACCGCAUGGUUCAAUAGUGAAAGACGGUUUUGCUGUCACUUAUAGAUGGAUCCGCGCCGCAUUAGCUAGUUGGUAAGGUAACGGCUUACCAAGGCAACGAUGCGUAGCCGACCUGAGAGGGUGAUCGGCCACACUGGAACUGAGACACGGUCCAGACUCCUACGGGAGGCAGCAGUAGGGAAUCUUCCGCAAUGGGCGAAAGCCUGACGGAGCAACGCCGCGUGAGUGAUGAAGGUCUUCGGAUCGUAAAACUCUGUUAUUAGGGAAGAACAAAUGUGUAAGUAACUAUGCACGUCUUGACGGUACCUAAUCAGAAAGCCACGGCUAACUACGUGCCAGCAGCCGCGGUAAUACGUAGGUGGCAAGCGUUAUCCGGAAUUAUUGGGCGUAAAGCGCGCGUAGGCGGUUUUUUAAGUCUGAUGUGAAAGCCCACGGCUCAACCGUGGAGGGUCAUUGGAAACUGGAAAACUUGAGUGCAGAAGAGGAAAGUGGAAUUCCAUGUGUAGCGGUGAAAUGCGCAGAGAUAUGGAGGAACACCAGUGGCGAAGGCGACUUUCUGGUCUGUAACUGACGCUGAUGUGCGAAAGCGUGGGGAUCAAACAGGAUUAGAU
This 764-nucleotide ribosomal RNA is filed under the name Staphylococcus epidermidis. Its description in RNAcentral is "bacterial SSU rRNA". It matches the Rfam family "Bacterial small subunit ribosomal RNA", at positions 37 to 783 of the family's 1533-position model. Lineage: Bacteria; Bacillati; Bacillota; Bacilli; Caryophanales; Staphylococcaceae. The record is from RNAcentral.